GAUGAACGCUAUCGACAGGCUUAACACAUGCAAGUCGAGGGGCAGCACAGGUAGCAAUAUCGGGUGGCGACCGGCGCACGGGUGAGUAACGCGUAUGCAACUUGCCUAUCAGAGGGGGAUAACCCGGCGAAAGUCGGACUAAUACCGCAUGAAGCAGGGGCCCCGCAUGGGGAUAUUUGCUAAAGAUUCAUCGCUGAUAGAUAGGCAUGCGUUCCAUUAGGCAGUUGGCGGGGUAACGGCCCACCAAACCGACGAUGGAUAGGGGUUCUGAGAGGAAGGUCCCCCACAUUGGUACUGAGACACGGACCAAACUUCUACGGGAGGCAGCAGUGAGGAAUAUUGGUCAAUGGGCGUAAGCCUGAACCAGCCAAGUCGCGUGAGGGAUGAAGGUUCUAUGGAUCGUAAACCUCUUUUAUAAGGGAAUAAAGUGCGGGACGUGUCCCGUUUUGUAUGUACCUUAUGAAUAAGGAUCGGCUAACUCCGUGCCAGCAGCCGCGGUAAUACGGAGGAUCCGAGCGUUAUCCGGAUUUAUUGGGUUUAAAGGGUGCGUAGGCGGCCUUUUAAGUCAGCGGUGAAAGUCUGUGGCUCAACCAUAGAAUUGCCGUUGAAACUGGGAGGCUUGAGUAUGUUUGAGGCAGGCGGAAUGCGUGGUGUAGCGGUGAAAUGCUUAGAUAUCACGCAGAACCCCGAUUGCGAAGGCAGCCUGCCAAGCCAUGACUGACGCUGAUGCACGAAAGCGUGGGGAUCAAACAGGAUUAGAUACCCUGGUAGUCCACGCAGUAAACGAUGAUCACUAGCUGUUUGCGAUACAGUGUAAGCGGCACAGCGAAAGCGUUAAGUGAUCCACCUGGGGAGUACGCCGGCAACGGUGAAACUCAAAGGAAUUGACGGGGGCCCGCACAAGCGGAGGAACAUGUGGUUUAAUUCGAUGAUACGCGAGGAACCUUACCCGGGUUUGAACGCAUUCGGACCGAGGUGGAAACACCUUUUCUAGCAAUAGCCGUUUGCGAGGUGCUGCAUGGUUGUCGUCAGCUCGUGCCGUGAGGUGUCGGCUUAAGUGCCAUAACGAGCGCAACCCUUGCCACUAGUUACUAACAGGUGAUGCUGAGGACUCUGGUGGGACUGCCAGCGUAAGCUGCGAGGAAGGCGGGGAUGACGUCAAAUCAGCACGGCCCUUACAUCCGGGGCGACACACGUGUUACAAUGGCGUGGACAAAGGGAUGCCACCUGGCGACAGGGAGCGAAUCCCCAAACCACGUCUCAGUUCGGAUCGGAGUCUGCAACCCGACUCCGUGAAGCUGGAUUCGCUAGUAAUCGCGCAUCAGCCAUGGCGCGGUGAAUACGUUCCCGGGCCUUGCACA
This 1361-nucleotide ribosomal RNA is filed under the name uncultured bacterium. RNAcentral's name for it is "bacterial SSU rRNA". It matches the Rfam family "Bacterial small subunit ribosomal RNA", at positions 28 to 1387 of the family's 1533-position model. The record is from RNAcentral.